RNAcentral lists this ribosomal RNA (465 nucleotides) under Vreelandella stevensii. RNAcentral describes it as "partial 16S ribosomal RNA". It matches the Rfam family "Bacterial small subunit ribosomal RNA", at positions 338 to 795 of the family's 1533-position model. The record is from RNAcentral. Lineage: Bacteria; Pseudomonadati; Pseudomonadota; Gammaproteobacteria; Oceanospirillales; Halomonadaceae.
CCUACGGGUGGCUGCAGUGGGGAAUAUUGGACAAUGGGGGCAACCCUGAUCCAGCCAUGCCGCGUGUGUGAAGAAGGCCCUCUGGUUGUAAAGCACUUUCAGUGAGGAAGAACGCCUGGUGGUUAAUACCCAUCAGGAAAGACAUCACUCACAGAAGAAGCACCGGCUAACUCCGUGCCAGCAGCCGCGGUAAUACGGAGGGUGCGAGCGUUAAUCGGAAUUACUGGGCGUAAAGCGCGCGUAGGUGGCUUGAUAAGCCGGUUGUGAAAGCCCCGGGCUCAACCUGGGAACGGCAUCCGGAACUGUCAAGCUAGAGUGCAGGAGAGGAAGGUAGAAUUCCCGGUGUAGCGGUGAAAUGCGUAGAGAUCGGGAGGAAUACCAGUGGCGAAGGCGGCCUUCUGGACUGACACUGACACUGAGGUGCGAAAGCGUGGGUAGCAAACAGGAUUAGAUACCCCAGUAGUC